UACGUCCGUAGUAACAGAAGACAUUUUCGUUCUAUAGUCAAGAGAAGUUAGCAAGAAAAUGUUUCGGAAAUGGCCCCGUCAACAAAAAUAGUUUAAAAACUGGCUCUAUGCACUAUGGGACUUAACAUCUGAGGCCAUCUGUCCCCUUAGACGUAGAACUUCUUAAACCUAACUAACUUUAGGACAUCACACACAUCCAUGCCCGAGGCAGGAUUCGAACGUGCGUCCGCAGCAGCCUUGUGGCUCUGGACUGAUGCGCCUUGAACCGCUCGGCCACGUCACCCGGCUCCCUGUCAACGAAUUUAUACGAAGACUGUUUGUCGGUGAACACGCUAAGCUCUAAAACUACUAGCACAAAAGUAGAAAUAAACUUCCAUUUCAUGUUAAAUCAUUCACUGGAGAUAUGACUUAAUUUAAAAGACAGCUGAAACUUUAUCUUUCUAAUAGUUCUUUCGGGAUAUUCCAUAUAAAGUGGGCAGAUUUUGUUAGUUAUUGGAGAUUUUGGGCCACGAUUUCAACUAAUUGGCAGGUUACAGGAACAGAGUGCUCAUAACAGCAGCGGAAAGACAAAAAAUGAGAUAGGAAAAGUUAAAGAGCGAAGAAAAAUAUGAAAAAUUGAAGAGGAGG
This is a long non-coding RNA of Schistocerca gregaria, 627 nucleotides long. RefSeq lists it as uncharacterized. The record is from RefSeq and is a predicted model, not a curated record. Lineage: Eukaryota; Metazoa; Arthropoda; Insecta; Orthoptera; Acrididae. The transcript is spliced from 3 exons.